GUACUCAGUACGACAGCACAUAUACUAAAAUUGGAACGAUACAGAGAAGAUUAGCAUGGCCCCUCUGCAAGGGAUGACAUGCAAAUUCGUGAAGCAUUCCAUAUUUUA
Molecule: small nuclear RNA, 108 nt
Organism: Heterocephalus glaber (naked mole-rat)
Lineage: Eukaryota; Metazoa; Chordata; Mammalia; Rodentia; Bathyergidae
Source: Ensembl